CAGCAGCCGCGGUAAUGCGUAGGUGGCAAGCGUUGUCCGGAAUUAUUGGGCGUAAAGGGCUCGCAGGCGGUUUCUUAAGUCUGAUGUGAAAGCCACCGGCUCAACCGGGGAGGGUCAUUGGAAACUGGGAAACUUGAGUGCAGAAGAGGAGAGUGGAAUUCCACGUGUAGCGGUGAAAUGCGUAGAGAUGUGGAGGAACACCAGUGGCGAAGGCGACUCUCUGGUCUGUAACUGACGCUGAGGAGCGAAAGCGUGGGGAGCGAACAGGAUUAGAUACCCGGGUAGUCCCUGUCUCUUAUAC
Molecule: ribosomal RNA, 301 nt
Filed under: uncultured bacterium
Lineage: Bacteria
Description: partial 16S ribosomal RNA
Rfam family: Bacterial small subunit ribosomal RNA
Source: RNAcentral